Podarcis raffonei (Aeolian wall lizard) is the source of this 1104-nucleotide long non-coding RNA. RefSeq lists it as uncharacterized. The record is from RefSeq and is a predicted model, not a curated record. The transcript has 2 exons. Lineage: Eukaryota; Metazoa; Chordata; Lepidosauria; Squamata; Lacertidae.
CAUCAGCACAACAAUACUGGUCCUCCAGCAGGAGUGCACUUGCAAGCACAGUCUUCUCACUUGAGUCAAGUUUCUGUCCCACUCUUCAACAGUUGACCAGGAAGGGCAUGUCAAGUGUUGGGACACCUCAGCUACUGAUUUGGCUAUUAAUUUUAGAGCUCUGCUUAUAGACUUAAGAACUGUGUACUAAUGCUAAGACUACGCACUGACUUUUUGAACAAAGCUUGCAGGUUUCCUUGAGCUGAGAGUCCAAGUUUCGUGACUGGGGCUUGGAGCUACGACAAGCGCUUUGCAUUGACUUCAAAGUGAUGAUGCUGGCAGGUCUAUUGAUGUCAUUAACCUCUUGAAACAAGAGAUGUGGACUAUGCCACUAUCACUGGCUACAAGAAGAGAAUAUUUCACAGCUAAGUUUGAAAGAAACCUGGAUUCUAACAUGUUCUGUAAUGGAUGGUAUGGCAGUAAUUCAGACCAUGGGAAACCCAAGGAUGUAGUGACCUUUGAAGACUAAGCAGACUUGUUUAAAGUGAGUACGGUAUCUUGUCCAGUUUCAAUGAAUGUUACACCACAACAGAUGUUGUAUUUGACUGCUUCAAGAAACCAUCUAUUAAGGAUGUUACCAUGCCAAAAUUGGAAAAGGAAGGAAAACAAAGAGUUUUAGCAGCAGUUUUUCAGAACCAAUUUGCUUUUGUGAAGUUGAUGUUGUGCAGUGAAGGAUCAAAUAUCUGAUAUGCAACAGUUUCUCAAGUUUCCAAAUUGGACCAGAAACCCCAAAACACAGGGGCCCCAUGCUUUACAGAUAUCACACAUUUCAAAAUCCCAAGACUUACACUAACUUUGAAGCUUUGCAUUGAGCCAUCCAAAAAGCGGACACUGCAAAUGAUCUCAGAUCGGGUCCGUUCCUUUGGUAGUUCUGAUGCUCGAAUGUUAUUUAUUCUCCCACCUAGUGCUCGUAACCGAGAGUUCAUAACUGUUGCUGAACAACCUGCAAAGAAAGAUGCCAAAGUAUAUUUUUACAUGUGACAGACAUAUGCUUUUGGUUAUAUACAAGCUUUCCUUUAAACUGCUUUGAAGUUUUACAGUAUAUAAAUAUACAGUAUAUAAAUU